GCAAGUCGAGGGGCAGCAUGGUCUUAGCUUGCUAAGGCCGAUGGCGACCGGCGCACGGGUGAGUAACACGUAUCCAACCUGCCGUCUACUCUUGGACAGCCUUCUGAAAGGAAGAUUAAUACAAGAUGGCAUCAUGAGUCCGCAUGUUCACAUGAUUAAAGGUAUUCCGGUAGACGAUGGGGAUGCGUUCCAUUAGAUAGUAGGCGGGGUAACGGCCCACCUAGUCUUCGAUGGAUAGGGGUUCUGAGAGGAAGGUCCCCCACAUUGGAACUGAGACACGGUCCAAACUCCUACGGGAGGCAGCAGUGAGGAAUAUUGGUCAAUGGGCGAGAGCCUGAACCAGCCAAGUAGCGUGAAGGAUGACUGCCCUAUGGGUUGUAAACUUCUUUUAUAAAGGAAUAAAGUCGGGUAUGCAUACCCGUUUGCAUGUACUUUAUGAAUAAGGAUCGGCUAACUCCGUGCCAGCAGCCGCGGUAAUACGGAGGAUCCGAGCGUUAUCCGGAUUUAUUGGGUUUAAAGGGAGCGUAGAUGGAUGUUUAAGUCAGUUGUGAAAGUUUGCGGCUCAACCGUAAAAUUGCAGUUGAUACUGGAUAUCUUGAGUGCAGUUGAGGCAGGCGGAAUUCGUGGUGUAGCGGUGAAAUGCUUAGAUAUCACGAAGAACUCCGAUUGCGAAGGCAGCCUGCUAAGCUGCAACUGAC
This 698-nucleotide ribosomal RNA is filed under the name uncultured Bacteroidales bacterium. RNAcentral's name for it is "bacterial SSU rRNA". It matches the Rfam family "Bacterial small subunit ribosomal RNA", at positions 57 to 744 of the family's 1533-position model. Lineage: Bacteria; Pseudomonadati; Bacteroidota; Bacteroidia; Bacteroidales. The record is from RNAcentral.